This 225-nucleotide long non-coding RNA is filed under the name Phoenix dactylifera (date palm). RNAcentral describes it as "long non-coding RNA (PDAC_LNC011001)". The record is from RNAcentral. Lineage: Eukaryota; Viridiplantae; Streptophyta; Magnoliopsida; Arecales; Arecaceae.
UCUCGGGAAGACACCAUUCACGGACGCGUGAUGCUGGGAUGGAGUUUCGGGAUGGAAGAAGAAGGCAGGCGAUCAACAGGGCUUCACGAGCAGCGGAGGAGCUGAGAGCGUGAUCGACGGAGCUUGACGCUGAUCGCGGGAUCAAUGGGUGCUAAUCCGGAAGCGUGAUGCGGGAGGGCAGAUCACGGACGGAUGGGGCGGAGGGCGUCGGAGUGGGGUGCUGGG